This 64-nucleotide transfer RNA is filed under the name Goniada japonica. RNAcentral describes it as "tRNA-Val". The record is from RNAcentral. Lineage: Eukaryota; Metazoa; Annelida; Polychaeta; Phyllodocida; Goniadidae.
CAAGUUAGAGCAUGAACAUGCAUUUCACUUACACUGAAAAGAUAGUAUUAAAUACUUAACUCGA